RNAcentral lists this ribosomal RNA (938 nucleotides) under uncultured bacterium. Its description in RNAcentral is "bacterial SSU rRNA". It matches the Rfam family "Bacterial small subunit ribosomal RNA", at positions 563 to 1499 of the family's 1533-position model. The record is from RNAcentral.
AAGGGAGCGUAGGCGGCGUGGUAAGUCAGACGUGAAAUCCCGGGGCUCAACCCCGGAACUGCGUCCGAUACUGCCGUGCUUAGAGGAUUGGAGAGGUAGCUGGAAUUCUUGGUGUAGCAGUGAAAUGCGUGGAUAUCAAGAGGAACACUCGUGGCGAAAGCGAGCUACUGGACAACUCCUGACGCUGAGGCUCGAAGGCCAGGGUAGCGAAAGGGAUUAGAUACCCCUGUAGUCCUGGCAGUAAACGGUGCACGCUUGGUGUGAGGGGAAUCGACCCCCCUUGUGCCGGAGCUAACGCGUUAAGCGUGCCGCCUGGGAAGUACGGUCGCAAGACUAAAACUCAAAGAAAUUGACGGGGACCCGCACAAGCGGUGGAGUAUGUGGCUUAAUUCGAUGCAACGCGAAGAACCUUACCUGGGCUUGACAUGCAUCUCUAAGCGCGUGAAAGCGCGUGACCCUUCGGGGGAUUUGCACAGGUGCUGCAUGGCCGUCGUCAGCUCGUGUCGUGAGAUGUUGGGUUAAGUCCCGCAACGAGCGCAACCCUUGUGACUAGUUGCCAGCGCGUAAAGGCGGGAACUCUAGUCAGACUGCCCAGAUCAACUGGGAGGAAGGUGGGGACGACGUCAGGUCAGUAUGGCCCUUACGCCCAGGGCUGCACACGUACUACAAUGCCCAGUACAAUGAGAGCCGAGACCGCGAGGUGGAGGAAAUCUAUAAAACUGGGCCCAGUUCGGAUUGGAGGCUGCAACUCGCCUCCAUGAAGUUGGAAUCGCUAGUAAUGGCGCAUCAUCUACGGCGCCGUGAAUACGUUCCCGGGUCUUGUACACACCGCCCGUCACAUCAUGGAAGCCGGUCGCACCCGAAGUACAUGCACCAACCGCAAGGGGGUAGUGUCCUAAGGUGUAGCUGGUAACUGGGAUGAAGUCGUAACAAGGUAA